Molecule: long non-coding RNA, 3373 nt
Organism: Equus quagga
Lineage: Eukaryota; Metazoa; Chordata; Mammalia; Perissodactyla; Equidae
Exons: 3
Source: RefSeq, a predicted model, not a curated record
CGAUGGCGGACGAUGGGGAUGAGUGCGAUGCAUGAGACUGGGAGGGGACGAGGCGAUGACUCACACCUGGGAGGAGCGGGAGGCGGGGAGUCUGUGAGGGACAAAGGGGAGGAGUGCUGUUGGUGAGGAGUCAAGUGAGGAUGGCACGGAGGGUGAGGCGGUGCCAGGAGGAGCCGGCGGAGGCAGGAAGGAUUCCCCCAGGGCCUCCGAAAGGGAGAGAAUGAAUUCCUGUGGCUUCAAGCUCCCUGUUUGUGGUCAUUUGUUCUGGCAGCUCCAAGAAGUGAGCAAAGCAGCCAUCCUGGCUUGUCCCUGCUGGAAGGGUUUCUGGGACAUGGGUGUUUCAGUGCUAAAAGCAGGAAAUCCGCGGAGAGCCCAGAUGAGUUGGGCUCUCCAGGCGCCCCUGCCUCAGGCUUGAACUCAGCAUCUGGUGCGAUAAGGAAGCAGGGACCGCCAGGGUCUGUCUGUGGGCUAGGAGCCUGUGCCCAGGUGGUGACGACAGUGCUCCUGACCCGGCUCUUAGGGGCAGCAGGCUGCAGGCCCUUGUGUGCAGGGCUGGCAGGGUGGUCGUGCAGGGCGUGCCAUCCACACCUCACCUGUUCUGCGGUGUGAAGCUGACCUUCAUCCUCACUGAGAUUCUCCAGCCUGAAGCCCCAGCAAUUCUGCCAAGUGGCCGGUAGCACCUGAAGGAACGUCCUUCUGCUUAAAUCGGUUGUGGGAGGAAGCUGUGUCUGCAGCAACCCUCUGGAACGAGGGGCCUGCCCCGCAGUGGAGAGACCGGGCCCUCAGGACACAGCUGCACCAGGGCGCAUGGCACUGCCUUAGCACCGGGCACCUGCCAGAGGGCGUGUCUUGAACCACAUCAGGCCUGGGCAGCCAGGGAGGUCUUUUCCAGGAAAAGAAUUCAGCCUCAGGAAGCUCCCACCCUGUCUGAAGGCCCAGAUGGAGAGGAAGAGGCUGCUCAAAUGAUGAAAUCACAUCAGAUCUGGAAGCUGGCUCAAAAUAACCCAGGAAGGAGAACGGUAAAGAGAUGGGGUGUAAGAGAAUCGAGCUGCCUCCCUGAUCUGGCACCUUCCUCAGACUGCCCUUGUCCCCUGUCCUGAGGAAGGAGACGGCUGGACACCUUGGGUACGGGUCCCACACCUGCAGGCCAGAGAUGUCAUUCUCCUUGGUGCCACCAGCAGGAGCCCAGCCUGCUGGGGCCAUAAGCUCCCUUCCCCUCUCCUCCCCACGGAUCCACCUGAGAAAGGGAGGCUCUGGUUUCCUGCCAGCUCCUCCCUCCGGGGCAAGAGCCCAGAGCCACCCAGAGGCUUGCUUGGCCCCAAAGGUGAAAAGGGGGUCUGGCCAGAGGGGGCCCACGGCCUGCCCAUGGAGGACACUUUCAUCAACAGAUGUAUUUAUUUUUUUUUUGAGAGAAGCCAUUCUGAGUGUUUUAUUAAUGAUGCGUCUGUGGGGAGGGCUUUACUAGAUAUGAACUAGCGAAUGCUAAUGCUAGGAACAGAAUGAUAGAAGCAUUUUCCUCCCUAAAAAGUUCUUCCUUUCAGGGGGCAAAGUUUUUGUAAUACAAACACCUUUUGGCUCAGUUAAAUUCGAGUAAUGAGGAACUUUGAUAUUUCUGAGUUAAUAAUGCCUUGAUUAAUCCGUAUCUGCAUAUGACUCAGAUGUACUGAUUUCUGCCAUUUCUCGCUCAGCAUGCUAACUCUGAGCAGGGGGUCUUGUUCACACUCAGUCGUUUUUCUCAGGAACUCCAGGGGGCAGUGACUUCACUGGAAAUCGAUAUCAAAGCACCGAGUGGAAAGUGUUCCAUCGCAGAAGCUCUUUUCAAAUGUUUUCUUUUUCUUUCCAGUUUUAUGGCGAUAUAAUUGAUAUACCACUGUAUUACUUUCAGAUGUACAACAUAAUCAUUUGAUGUAUGUAUGUAUUGUGAAAUGGUCACCACAAUAAGUAACAUCCAUCACCUCACACAGUGACAAUUUUUUUUCUUGUGAUUAGAACUUUCAAGAUCUACUCUCUUAACGUCUUUCAAAUAUACAAAAUGGUAUUGUUGACUAUAUUAAGCACACUGUGCAUUAGCUUCCCAGAACUUAUUUAUCUUAUAAAUAAAGAUACCUUGGACUUUUUGACCCCUUCAUCCAUUUCCACCUCCCCCACCCCCUGCCUCUGGCAGGCACCAUUCGAUUCUGUUUCUAUGAGUUCAUUUCUUUGAUUCUGCAUGUAAGUGAUAUCGUACAGUAUUUUUUAUCUGUCUGAAUUGUUUCAUUUAACAUAAUGCCCUCAAGGUGCAUCCAUGUUGUUGCAAAUGGCAGGACUUCCUUGUUUAUGGCUAAAUAGUAUACCGCUAUCUGUCUGUCUCUCUCUCACAUUUUCUUUAUCCACUUGUCUGUUGAAGGUCCCUGAGGUCGUGUCCAUGUCUUGGCUAUUGUGAAUAACGCUGCAAUGAGCAUGGGAGAGCAGAUGUCUCUCAGAGGCUAGAAACUGAUUGCUGUGCUCACCUAUAACCACCCAGCUCGAGACUGCAGACCAACUAUCCGCUGUGUCCAGUGAGACAGCUGACCCACCACCUGCUGUGUGAAUAGCUGUGCUCACAGGGCAAUCCCGAGACUCUGGUGAAAGGAACUUUCAAUCAUAUGUGAUAGAUGCUCUUUGACGGUAUAGAACCACUCUGUACACUCCCUCUUCUUGGGGGCCCUUCCUUCUUUGGAGAAGGAAGGCCACAGGCUAAGCUAGUCCUCAGAUCUGGCUCACAAUAAACUCAGCCCAAUUUUCAAUUAUAGGUUGGUUAUGGAUUAUUUUCAUCGACAUUUCUUGGCAUAGUCAGAAGGAUUUCAGAGAAACCCACCAGAGAGCGCCUGGAACCUACACUGAACUGGCAUUCGGCCUGUCCCCUGAGCCGUCAGCAUCGGAUAUGAUGCGCACACGAGGCCUUCAUUCUACGUUGAUCCGUCACAUAAGCUGAUGUUAUCUCCGUUACAAAACUGGUUAACAAGCAUAAUAACUAAAACGAUGGCUAAUUUUGUCUAAUGUCUCGUGAAGUCUUGUAGGCAAUCUAAAUGAUUAUUGGGAACAAGUAACUAGUAGUUGUGAAAAAGAUGAGUGUUGGGGGAACUUUUAACAAUAAUUAUGAGUUAUGGUGCAUGUACCUAAAACAGCUUCCAAAAUCUGCUUGCUAACUUGAAACUUUGAAGUUGCUAGGUUAAUUUAAGGGAUAAAGAUUCGUUAAAUAUCCAGAUAAUCUCUAAAUAAGAUAAAAUAUUAGGCAUUAAUUAUUAACUGUAUGUUUCUCUACUGUUGGCUUCUCAUUACAAAACCACCCUAAAAGUUACGUGUAUUAGUAAACAUGUCUUCUAUUUUAUUAAAAGAUUUUACUAUGAAGUAA